Molecule: ribosomal RNA, 442 nt
Filed under: uncultured bacterium
Lineage: Bacteria
Description: SSU rRNA
Rfam family: Bacterial small subunit ribosomal RNA
Source: RNAcentral
AGAGCGAACGCUGGCGGCAGGCUUAACACAUGCAAGUCGAGCGCCCCGCAAGGGGAGCGGCAGACGGGAGAGUAACACGUGGGAACGUACCUUUCGGUUCGGAACAACCCAGGGAAACUUGGGCUAAUACCGGAUACGCCCGCAAGGGGAAAGAUUUAUCGCCGGAAGAUCGGCCCGCGUCUGAUUAGCUAGUUGGUGAGGUAACGGCUCACCAAGGCGACGAUCAGUAGCUGGUCUGAGAGGAUGAUCAGCCACAUUGGGACUGAGACACGGCCCAGACUCCUACGGGAGGCAGCAGUGGGGAAUAUUGGACAAUGGGCGCAAGCCUGAUCCAGCCAUGCCGCGUGGGUGAUGAAGGCCCUAGGGUUGUAAAGCCCUUUCGGCGGGAAGAUAAUGACGGUACCCGCAGAAGAAGCCCGGCUAACUUCGUGCCAGCAGCCGC